UACAGAGGGUGCAAGCGUUAAUCGGAGUUACUGGGCGUAAAGGGCGCGUAGGUGGUUGUUUUAAGUGAGAUGUGAAAGCCCUGGGCUUAACCUAGGAACUGCAUCUUAUACUGGGCAACUGGAGUACUGUAGAGGGUAGUGGAAUUUCCGGUGGAGCGGUGAAAUGCGUAGAGAUCGGAAAGAACACCAACGGCGAAAGCACUCUGCUGGGCCGACACUGACACUGAGAGACGAAAGCUAGGGGAGCGAAUGGG
This 254-nucleotide ribosomal RNA is filed under the name uncultured bacterium. RNAcentral describes it as "partial 16S ribosomal RNA". It matches the Rfam family "Bacterial small subunit ribosomal RNA", at positions 524 to 776 of the family's 1533-position model. The record is from RNAcentral.